RNAcentral lists this ribosomal RNA (168 nucleotides) under Gymnosporangium sabinae (birnengitterrost). RNAcentral's name for it is "partial 28S ribosomal RNA". It matches the Rfam family "Eukaryotic large subunit ribosomal RNA", at positions 1 to 169 of the family's 3401-position model. The record is from RNAcentral. Lineage: Eukaryota; Fungi; Basidiomycota; Pucciniomycetes; Pucciniales; Gymnosporangiaceae.
GACCUCAAAUCAGGUGGAAUUACCCGCUGAACUUAAGCAUAUCAAUAAGCGGAGGAAAAGAAACUAACAAGGAUUCCCCUAGUAACGGCGAGUGAAGAGGGAUCAGCCCAAAUUUGUAAUCUGGCUCUUUCAGGGUCUGAGUUGUAAUUUUGAGAACUGUUUUCUGCU